Molecule: ribosomal RNA, 253 nt
Filed under: uncultured bacterium
Lineage: Bacteria
Description: partial 16S ribosomal RNA
Rfam family: Bacterial small subunit ribosomal RNA
Source: RNAcentral
UACGUAGGUGGCAAGCGUUGUCCGGAAUUAUUGGGCGUAAAGCGCGCGCAGGCGGUCCUUUAAGUCUGAUGUGAAAGCCCACGGCUCAACCGUGGAGGGUCAUUGGAAACUGGGGGACUUGAGUGCAGGAGAGAAGAGUGGAAUUCCACGUGUAGCGGUGAAAUGCGUAGAGAUGUGGAGGAACACCAGUGGCGAAAGCGGCUUCCUGGACCAGUACCGACGUUCAGGCACGAAAGCGUGGGGAGCAAACAGG